Molecule: ribosomal RNA, 241 nt
Filed under: uncultured bacterium
Lineage: Bacteria
Description: partial 16S ribosomal RNA
Rfam family: Bacterial small subunit ribosomal RNA
Source: RNAcentral
CCUAGCGGCGGACGGGUGAGUAACGCGUGGGAACAUACCCUUUGGUACGGAAUAGCCUCGGGAAACUGGGAGUAAUACCGUAUGUGUCCUUUCACUGUAGUGGUGGGGGGAGAAAGAUUUAUCACCAAAGGAUUGGCCCGCGUUGGAUUAGGUAGUUGGUGGGGUAAUGGCCUACCAAGCCGACGAUCCAUAGCUGGUUUGAGAGGAUGAUCAGCCACACUGGGACUGAGACACGGCCCAG